Molecule: RNA transcript, 3097 nt
Organism: Parus major (Great Tit)
Lineage: Eukaryota; Metazoa; Chordata; Aves; Passeriformes; Paridae
Gene: TPM3
Gene name: tropomyosin 3
Exons: 6
Source: RefSeq, a predicted model, not a curated record
UGCUCUGGAUCCUGCACUCUUCAUCUCACCCAUGGUUGCGCCAGGAGGUGGCAGCAGGGCCAGUAUGCCUCACCAGAGGUGAGUGGGUGCUGCACACUGGAUAGCACAGGACCUGCUGUGUGCCACAGUGCUCCUGGCCAUGUGACACAGCCCUGCAGCAGCAGGGAGAGGAGCCUGGCUGGGCUGGGUGCAAUUCUCCCUGUCCCCACUUGCCAUUCAGGCACCCCAGGAUCCCUGUCUGCUCCCCAGCUGGGAGGGCCCUGUUCCCCACCUCCCAUCCCUUCUGCCUGUGUCCGACCUUGGUGUCUCCCAGCCCCAGGGCCCAUCAGUGCCUGCUCUGGCUCUGCUUAUUGACAGGGCUGGGGGCUGCUCGGCCAGCACCCCCCGCCCCCGGCCCUUCAUUAGCUCAGCUGUCGGGCUGCAUCACAUCACCCACUGCCACAUACACGGCCCUGGCUCUGGCACUGCUGCUGCCACGUGUGUCCCUGCUGUCCCCACUCCCACCUCAUCGUGGGCCACCUCAGGAGGCUGAAGCCCCUGACCCCCAAGGCCAGGCUGUGUCCCAGUCCUUCCCGUGGCACUCAGGAUUUUGGCUGCCCCAUGUUCUGUCCCAUUGGUGCCCCAAAGCCUGAGUCCCCCACAAAGCCCCCGGUGCCAUUCACAAGGCUGGCACUUCCCACUGCAGCAAAACACUGCUGUGGUGUGGGGAGGCUGUGCUUCCAGCACUCCAUGAUAUCCCAUGUGCCUUUGUUGCUGGACACCACCACCCUGGCCCCAACAGCUACUUCAGUGUGGGCUGGGGUCCUGCCUCUGUCACCCAGCAUGAGUGGGGCCACAUCCUCAAUAUGGAUGCAGCAGGGUGACAGGCAGCCCCUCCAGCUGCUCCUUGGAAGAGAAACUCCUGUGAGUUCCAGCAGCUCCUACAACGCAAGGGGAUGUGAGGCACAACUCCCCUGUGUCAAUGGGGCUCGUCCUUGGGCAGGGUCAUGUGUAGCCCCUUGGUGGCACAGGGCCCGCAGGCCAGGGCUGGCCCCCCAGUAUUGACAGCCCCACUAAUGACAGGGAGUGUGACCAGGGGCAGGAGCAAGCAGUGCAGGACCAUCGACCGCAUCGACCGGCAGUGCUGGGCAACAAGGGCGCGGGGGUCCGUGGAGGGGGCAGGGGGACGUCAAUGGGUGGUAAUUAAUGGGAACGAGGCCACGUGUGCAGGGCCAGGGCUGUCGCUGGCCACGUCCCUCUGCUCGGUGCAGUCGAGUGCGGUUAUAAACGGCAGCCAGGCGAUCUCCAAGCCAGAGCGCAGAAGAGGCCCCCAAGCCAGCCCAGGAGACCAAGCCUGCACUGCCCUGCUCCGGCUUCAUCCCAGCCACAGGACGCCUCCUGCUCCAGCACUGCAUCCCGAGCACCCCAGUACCGGCACAGUUGCCCAGCAGGCUCCAGGCAUUGAGGCAGCUGCGCUCCAGCGCCAGGGACGCCCAGCACCGACUUGGCCAGAUGCUGCCUGUGCCCUGCCUCAGACAGGGGGGCCCUCUGCACCCUGUCUUGCACCGUCUGCUAGUCCUCACUGCUGCAAUAAAACCUGUCUGCCCAUCUCCAUGGGACUUGAGAGGGGGAACCCAGAGGCGUCCGGGGGUUGGUGGAGGUUUGGGAUGGUAGCAGGGUCAAUGCUUGCCACCUGUCCCCCUGCUCACGCCAGGGAUGAUGACAAUACAAAGGCCCGUGGCCCUGUGCCCAGCACUGCCUCCACUGCCCUGGCAUGGGCGGGGGGGCGUUAUUUAUGGAGGUGCAGCCACUGCUCAGGGCUCUUGGUGGGGCUGUCCCCCCCAGUGCCCUGCCCAGGGUGCCCAGAGCUGCCACCAGGUCUCUGUCUCUGUCCCCCAGGCCCCCGGGUUCUGGCCCCUUUAGCCCUCUACAUCUGUCCCUGGGUAGGAGCAGUAGGGGUAGGGUCUUCCAUGGGAGAUCCUAACUUGAUUUAUGGGACCAUUGGGAUCUCUGGGCCAGCAUGAGGAGGUUAGAAACCUCUCGGCUGCGGACAAAGUGCCACCAUUUGCCCUGAGAAUUCCUCCCCGUGCCUGGGGAAUCUGCUCCUCCAGCUGCCAACAGCAUCCUCUACCUCAGCACAAAGCACCAGCAUGGCUGGAGCUGGCCUUGAGGCUCAGCGGGCUCCUGGGGGACUCUGCCCCUGGUGCUGGGUGCAGUUUCCCCUGCUGCUCCCUGCAGAGCCAAACACUCUUGGCCAAGCCCUUGCUCCCAAAAUAGCACCAGGAUGAUCUUGCCCUUUUCCAUGCCACCCCCAGGCAGGGGUAAAUGUCAGCCCAGGGCCACCAAAACAUCCUAAGCCCCUCCAGGAAGGCAAAUGGGGAGCGAGGACUUCAUGCCAGUGCUAAACAGACCCAGUUCAGCAUCCUGAGGAAGUGCUCGGGACACCAGCCAGGGUGUCCCGUUGCAUGGGGGGAGGGGGUACCUGGGACAAUGCAGGACCCCCUCUUGCAGACCCACUGCUGCUUUUUAUAACACCCCAGCUGUCCUCGGGAGCCCAAAUAAGGCUGUGGCCACCCGGAGCCCCCGGGACACAUAAUGGGUCCUGAGCACAGACUUUUUGGGAAGGUGGGGAGGCGGGUCAGCCCAAGAAAGGCAAAGCCCCUGUGCUGGGCAGAGCUGAUAAACGGUCAGUGGGGCACAGGCAACACAGCUGCCCUACCCACCCAUUAUCUGUCCUGCAUCCCACUGCCCACCACUGCCUGUGUCCCACCAAGGAUGGAGGCCAUCAAGAAGAAGAUGCAGAUGCUGAAGCUGGACAAGGAGAAUGCCCUGGACCGGGCAGAGCAGGCAGAGGCUGAGCAGAAGCAGGCGGAAGAGCGGAGCAAGCAGCUGGAGGAUGAGCUAGCUGCUAUGCAGAAGAAGCUAAAGGGGACAGAGGAUGAACUGGACAAGUACUCUGAGGCCCUGAAAGACGCCCAGGAGAAGCUGGAGCUGGCAGAGAAGAAGGCGGCGGAUGCUGAGGCAGAAGUGGCAUCUUUGAAUCGCCGUAUCCAGCUGGUAGAGGAGGAGUUGGACCGAGCUCAGGAGCGCCUUGCCACAGCUCUGCAGAAGCUGGAAG